RNAcentral lists this ribosomal RNA (501 nucleotides) under uncultured bacterium. RNAcentral describes it as "bacterial SSU rRNA". It matches the Rfam family "Bacterial small subunit ribosomal RNA", at positions 66 to 543 of the family's 1533-position model. The record is from RNAcentral.
ACGAGAAAGGAGACUACGGUCUCCGAGUACAGUGGCGCACGGGUGCGUAACACGUAAGUAAUCUACCCCGAACUCUGGGAUAACCCUCCGAAAGGAGGGCUAACACUGGAUAGGGUCCCCGAGGUGUAAGCCGCGGGGGGAAAACGGGCCUCUGUUGCAUGCCUGUGGUCCGGGAUGAGCUUGCGGCCCAUUAGCUUGUUGGUAGGGUAAUGGCUUACCAAGGCGACGAUGGGUAGCUGGUCUGAGAGGAUGAUCAGCCACACUGGCACUGAGACACGGGCCAGACUCCUACGGGAGGCAGCAGUGGGGAAUUUUGCGCAAUGGGCGAAAGCCUGACGCAGUAACGCCGCGUGGAGGAUGAAGGCCUUCGGGUUGUAAACUCCUGUCAGGAGGAACGACGGGGCAAGGGUGAACAAGUCUUGCCGCCAGACGGUACCUCCAAAGGAAGCCCCGGCUAAUUCCGUGCCAGCAGCCGCGGUAAUACGGAAGGGGCGAGCGUUG